AUGCUGCGCCGUCGCCAUUUUCUUUGCAAGAGCCUCCGCCAAGCUCGUCGCCGGCCUUCGCGCUCUCGUCCGCGGCCGGAUCUGAGGAGCCCGGCCCUCGGUGUGCCCGUUUCCCCUUGCUCCACCCUCGCUGCGGUCCCGCCCCGCGCUCGCCGGAGAACCGUGCCGCCGUCCCGCGCCGUCAACUCAUCCCGCGUCGGGAGGACAGCGUCCUCGCCUCCCUGGGCCUCCUCCUGUGUGGGCCUCGUGGGCCGCACUCCUCCCGCGUGGGCCCUGGCCACCCCGCGGCCUAGCCCAGCAUCGGCCUGCCUUCCAGCCUCCUCUCCGCCAACGGGCCGUGGCCCAUGGUUGCAGGUACAGGUUAUGCGAUGA
This 372-nucleotide ribosomal RNA is filed under the name Triticum aestivum (bread wheat). RNAcentral's name for it is "partial small subunit ribosomal RNA". The record is from RNAcentral. Lineage: Eukaryota; Viridiplantae; Streptophyta; Magnoliopsida; Poales; Poaceae.